AUUGAACGCUGGCGGCAUGCCUUACACAUGCAAGUCGAACGGCAGCACGGGUGCUUGCACCUGGUGGCGAGUGGCGAACGGGUGAGUAAUACAUCGGAACAUGUCCUGUAGUGGGGGAUAGCCCGGCGAAAGCCGGAUUAAUACCGCAUACGAUCUACGGAUGACAGCGGGGGACCUUCGGGCCUCGCGCUAUGGGGUUGGCCGAUGGCUGAUUAGCUAGUUGGUGGGGUAAAGGCCUACCAAGGCGACGAUCAGUAGCUGGUCUGAGAGGACGACCAGCCACACUGGGACUGAGACACGGCCCAGAGUCCUACGGGAGGCAGCAGUGGGGAAUUUUGGACAAUGGGCGAAAGCCUGAUCCAGCAAUGCCGCGUGUGUGAAGAAGGCCUUCGGGUUGUAAAGCACUUUUGUCCGGAAAGAAAUCCUUGGCCCUAAUACGGUCGGGGGAUGACGGUACCGGAAGAAUAAGCACCGGCUAACUACGUG
RNAcentral lists this ribosomal RNA (486 nucleotides) under uncultured bacterium. RNAcentral's name for it is "partial 16S ribosomal RNA". It matches the Rfam family "Bacterial small subunit ribosomal RNA", at positions 30 to 507 of the family's 1533-position model. The record is from RNAcentral.